Molecule: transfer RNA, 86 nt
Filed under: Candidatus Zixiibacteriota bacterium
Lineage: Bacteria; Pseudomonadati; Candidatus Zixiibacteriota
Description: tRNA-Leu
Rfam family: tRNA
About the family: Transfer RNA (tRNA) molecules are approximately 80 nucleotides in length. Their secondary structure includes four short double-helical elements and three loops (D, anti-codon, and T loops).
Source: RNAcentral
GCCGGAGUGGUGGAAUUGGUAGACACCAGGGACUUAAAAUCCCUUGGUUCGUUAGAACCGUGCCGGUUCAAGUCCGGCCUCCGGCA